Molecule: long non-coding RNA, 328 nt
Filed under: Mytilus galloprovincialis (Mediterranean mussel)
Lineage: Eukaryota; Metazoa; Mollusca; Bivalvia; Mytilida; Mytilidae
Source: RNAcentral
CUGAGAAUAAAAUGUUAAAACUGAUACUACAUUUGUAGUUAACAAAUCUAAAUGACGAGUAUAUCCCACGUCUACUUAUACUUCAUAGUUAUUAUCACAACUUCAAAUGUAUAUCGACAAAACAAUAGAGUGACAUCUGUUUGCUUUCAAUACAAAAAAAAUGAAAGCAAACAGAUGUCACAAUAAUGGAAACGCAUACAUGUAUAUGCGAUUAAGUGCGAGGGGCAAACACAAUAAUAGCUGUGGUAUAAACUGUGCAAUAGUGUUUUUACUUUUAUCAAACAAAGUUCGCUGGUUUAACUACUAAAAUCAUAGAUUAAGAUUCCCC